GACGAACGCUGGCGGCGUGCUUAACACAUGCAAGUCGAGCGAUGAAGCUUCUUCGGAAGUGGAUUAGCGGCGGACGGGUGAGUAACACGUGGGUAACCCGCCUCAUAGAGGGGAAUAGCCUUCCGAAAGGAAGAUUAAUACCCCAUAAGAUUGUAGCUUCGCAUGAAGCAGCAAUUAAAGGAGCAAUCCGCUAUGAGAUGGGCCCGCGUCGCAUUAGCUAGUUGGUGAGGUAACGGGUCACCAAGGCGACGAUGCGUAGCCGACCUGAGAGGGUGAUCGGCCACAUUGGGACUGAGACACGGCCCAGACUCCUACGGGAGGCAGCAGUGGGGAAUAUUGCACAAUGGGGGAAACCCUGAUGCAGCAACGCCGCGUGAGUGAUGACGGUCUUCGGAUUGUAAAGCUCUGUCUUCAGGGACGAUAAUGACGGUACCUGAGGAGGAAGCCACGGCUAACUACGUGCCAGCAGCCGCAGUAA
Molecule: ribosomal RNA, 478 nt
Filed under: uncultured bacterium
Lineage: Bacteria
Description: partial 16S ribosomal RNA
Rfam family: Bacterial small subunit ribosomal RNA
Source: RNAcentral